UACAGAGGGUGCAAGCGUUAAUCGGAAUCACUGGGCGUAAAGAGCGCGUAGGUUGAUAAUUAAGUUGGAUGUGAAAGCCCCGGGCUCAACCUGGGACGGUCAUUCAAGACUGGUUAUCUAGAGUAUGGUAGAGGGAAGUGGAAUUUCCGGUGUAGCGGUGAAAUGCGUAGAUAUCGGAAGGAACACCAGUGGCGAAGGCGGCUUCCUGGACCAAUACUGACACUGAGGCGCGAAAGCGUGGGGAGCAAACAGG
Molecule: ribosomal RNA, 253 nt
Filed under: uncultured bacterium
Lineage: Bacteria
Description: partial 16S ribosomal RNA
Rfam family: Bacterial small subunit ribosomal RNA
Source: RNAcentral